RNAcentral lists this ribosomal RNA (790 nucleotides) under Actinomycetes bacterium. RNAcentral's name for it is "bacterial SSU rRNA". It matches the Rfam family "Bacterial small subunit ribosomal RNA", at positions 73 to 875 of the family's 1533-position model. The record is from RNAcentral. Lineage: Bacteria; Bacillati; Actinomycetota; Actinomycetes.
AGCCGCUUCGGUGGUGGAUUAGUGGCGAACGGGUGAGUAACACGUGGGCAAUCUGCCCUUCACUCUGGGACAAGCCCUGGAAACGGGGUCUAAUACCGGAUACGACCUCCGACCGCAUGGUCUGGUGGUGGAAAGCUCCGGCGGUGAAGGAUGAGCCCGCGGCCUAUCAGCUUGUUGGUGGGGUGAUGGCCUACCAAGGCGACGACGGGUAGCCGGCCUGAGAGGGCGACCGGCCACACUGGGACUGAGACACGGCCCAGACUCCUACGGGAGGCAGCAGUGGGGAAUAUUGCACAAUGGGCGAAAGCCUGAUGCAGCGACGCCGCGUGAGGGAUGACGGCCUUCGGGUUGUAAACCUCUUUCAGCAGGGAAGAAGCGCAAGUGACGGUACCUGCAGAAGAAGCGCCGGCUAACUACGUGCCAGCAGCCGCGGUAAUACGUAGGGCGCGAGCGUUGUCCGGAAUUAUUGGGCGUAAAGAGCUCGUAGGCGGCUUGUCGCGUCGGAUGUGAAAGCCCGGGGCUUAACCCCGGGUCUGCAUUCGAUACGGGCAGGCUAGAGUUCGGUAGGGGAGAUCGGAAUUCCUGGUGUAGCGGUGAAAUGCGCAGAUAUCAGGAGGAACACCGGUGGCGAAGGCGGAUCUCUGGGCCGAUACUGACGCUGAGGAGCGAAAGCGUGGGGAGCGAACAGGAUUAGAUACCCUGGUAGUCCACGCCGUAAACGUUGGGAACUAGGUGUGGGCGACAUUCCACGUCGUCCGUGCCGCAGCUAACGCAUUAAGUUCCCCGCCUG